GAGGGUAUAACUCAGUGGUAGAGUGCCUGCUUAGCAUGCCCAAGGUCCUGGGUUCAAUCCCUGGUACCUCCA
RNAcentral lists this transfer RNA (72 nucleotides) under Camelus bactrianus (Bactrian camel). It matches the Rfam family "tRNA". Rfam says of the family: Transfer RNA (tRNA) molecules are approximately 80 nucleotides in length. Lineage: Eukaryota; Metazoa; Chordata; Mammalia; Artiodactyla; Camelidae. The record is from Rfam by way of RNAcentral. RNAcentral also lists the same sequence under 2 other names.